This 429-nucleotide ribosomal RNA is filed under the name Verrucomicrobiota bacterium. Its description in RNAcentral is "Verrucomicrobia bacterium partial 16S ribosomal RNA". It matches the Rfam family "Bacterial small subunit ribosomal RNA", at positions 355 to 776 of the family's 1533-position model. Lineage: Bacteria; Pseudomonadati; Verrucomicrobiota. The record is from RNAcentral.
UAGGGAAUCUUCCGCAAUGGACGAAAGUCUGACGGAGCAACGCCGCGUGAGUGAAGAAGGAUUUCGGUUCGUAAAACUCUGUUGUUAGGGAAGAAAAAAUGUAUAGUAACUAUAUACAAAAGAGACGGUACCUAACCAGAAAGCCACGGCUAACUACGUGCCAGCAGCCGCGGUAAUACGUAGGUGGCAAGCGUUGUCCGGAAUUAUUGGGCGUAAAGCGCGCGCAGGUGGUUUAGAAAGUCUGAUGUGAAAGCCCACGGCUCAACCGUGGAGGGUCAUUGGAAACUAAUAAACUUGAGUGCAGGAGAGAAAAGUGGAAUUCCUAGUGUAGCGGUGGAAUGCGCAGAUAUCAGGAGGAACACCGGUGGCGAAAGCGGCUUUUUGGCCUGCAACUGACACUGAGGCGCGAAAGCGUGGGGAGCAAACAGG